GACGAACGCUGGCGGCGUGCUUAACACAUGCAAGUCGAGCGAUGAAGCACCUUCGGGUGUGAAUUAGCGGCGAACGGGUGAGGAACACGUGAGAAAUCUGCCUUCAACUCUGGGAUAACUCCGUGAAAACGGGGCUAAUACCGGAUAUGAAACCUGCGGGCAUCCGCGUGUUUGGAAAGUUUUUCGGUUGAAGAUGAUCUCGCGGCCUAUCAGCUUGUUGGUGAGGUAAUGGCUCACCAAGGCGACGACGGGUAGCCGGCCUGAGAGGGCGACCGGCCACACUGGGACUGAGACACGGCCCAGACUCCUACGGGAGGCAGCAGUGGGGAAUAUUGGGCAAUGGAGGAAACUCUGACCCAGCGACGCCGCGUGCGGGAUGAAGGCCUUCGGGUUGUAAACCGCUUUCAGCAGGGAAGAAGCGAAAGUGACGGUACCUGCAGAAGAAGCACCGGCUAACUAUGUGCCAGCCGCCGCUGUAA
RNAcentral lists this ribosomal RNA (479 nucleotides) under uncultured bacterium. RNAcentral describes it as "partial 16S ribosomal RNA". It matches the Rfam family "Bacterial small subunit ribosomal RNA", at positions 28 to 523 of the family's 1533-position model. The record is from RNAcentral.